Molecule: ribosomal RNA, 721 nt
Filed under: uncultured bacterium
Lineage: Bacteria
Description: bacterial SSU rRNA
Rfam family: Bacterial small subunit ribosomal RNA
Source: RNAcentral
GGGUGAGUAACACGUGGGUAACCUGCCCUAAAGUCUGGGAUACCACUUGGAAACAGGUGCUAAUACCGGAUAACAACAAUAGCUGCAUGGCUAUUGCUUAAAAGGCGGCGAAAGCUGUCGCUAAAGGAUGGACCCGCGGUGCAUUAGCUAGUUGGUAAGGUAAUGGCUUACCAAGGCGACGAUGCAUAGCCGAGUUGAGAGACUGAUCGGCCACAUUGGGACUGAGACACGGCCCAAACUCCUACGGGAGGCAGCAGUAGGGAAUCUUCCACAAUGGGCGAAAGCCUGAUGGAGCAACGCCGCGUGAGUGAAGAAGGUUUUCGGAUCGUAAAGCUCUGUUGUUGGUGAAGAAGGAUAGAGGUAGUAACUGGCCCCUAUUUGACGGUAAUCAACCAGAAAGUCACGGCUAACUACGUGCCAGCAGCCGCGGUAAUACGUAGGUGGCAAGCGUUGUCCGGAUUUAUUGGGCGUAAAGCGAGCGCAGGCGGAAAGAUAAGUCUGAUGUGAAAGCCCCCGGCUUAACCGAGGAAUUGCAUCGGAAACUGUGUUUCUUGAGUGCAGAAGAGGAGAGUGGAACUCCAUGUGUAGCGGUGGAAUGCGUAGAUAUAUGGAAGAACACCAGUGGCGAAGGCGGCUCUCUGGUCUGUAACUGACGCUGAGGCUCGAAAGCAUGGGUAGCGAACAGGAUUAGAUACCCUGGUAGUCCAUGCCGUAAACGAUG